RNAcentral lists this ribosomal RNA (460 nucleotides) under uncultured bacterium. RNAcentral describes it as "partial 16S ribosomal RNA". It matches the Rfam family "Bacterial small subunit ribosomal RNA", at positions 338 to 795 of the family's 1533-position model. The record is from RNAcentral.
CCUACGGGAGGCAGCAGUGAGGAAUAUUGGUCAAUGGGCGGGAGCCUGAACCAGCCAAGUAGCGUGAAGGAUGACUGCCCUGCGGGUUGUAAACUUCUUUUAUAAGGGAAUAAAGUGUGGCACGCGUGCCUGUUUGUGUGUACUUGAUGAAUAAGGAUCGGCUAACUCCGUGCCAGCAGCCGCGGUAAUACGGAGGAUCCGAGCGUUAUCCGGAUUUAUUGGGUUUAAAGGGAGCGUAGAUGGGUUGUUAAGUCAGUUGUGAAAGUUCGCGGCUCAACCGUGAAAUUGCAAUUGAUACUGGCAGUCUUGAGUACAGGUGAGGUAGGCGGAAUUCGUGGUGUAGCGGUGAAAUGCUUAGAUAUCACGAAGAACUCCGAUUGCGAAGGCAGCUUACUAAACUGCAACUGACAUUGAUGCUCGAAAGUGUGGGUAUCAAACAGGAUUAGAUACCCGGGUAGUC